Molecule: long non-coding RNA, 339 nt
Filed under: Vigna radiata
Lineage: Eukaryota; Viridiplantae; Streptophyta; Magnoliopsida; Fabales; Fabaceae
Description: long non-coding RNA (VRAD_LNC012963)
Source: RNAcentral
UGGUUGAAUCAGACCAUAAACCAACAUCUCUUAUACAUGUUUCUCAAUUUUAGCCUUUUGAAAAUGAGGGUACCUAUAUUGCUGCACUGUCAGAGGGGCCGAAUUAGGGAGGAGGGAAAUUUUGUGAUCAGUAUAGCGUGAUGGAGGAAGAGAAGGGGAUUUUCGGAAAAGCUUGUAGUAUCUAUGUAAGAGGGAAGACAUUUGAGGGAAAGGAUGAGCAGGGACAACAUGUAUGUUUGAUUGAGUCGAUGACAAUGGAGUAGGAAGUAUUCUGAUGUGGAAGAAUCCUGCGGCCCCAUGAGUUUGUAGGAGGCGUUUGACUUGAUGGGUUGAAAUAUC